RNAcentral lists this transfer RNA (77 nucleotides) under Verrucomicrobia bacterium RIFCSPHIGHO2_12_FULL_41_10. RNAcentral describes it as "tRNA-Met". It matches the Rfam family "tRNA". Rfam says of the family: Transfer RNA (tRNA) molecules are approximately 80 nucleotides in length. Their secondary structure includes four short double-helical elements and three loops (D, anti-codon, and T loops). Further hydrogen bonds mediate the characteristic L-shaped molecular structure. tRNAs have two regions of fundamental functional importance: the anti-codon, which is responsible for specific mRNA codon recognition, and the 3' end, to which the tRNAs corresponding amino acid is attached (by aminoacyl-tRNA synthetases). tRNAs cope with the degeneracy of the genetic code in two manners: having more than one tRNA (with a specific anti-codon) for a particular amino acid; and 'wobble' base-pairing, i.e. permitting non-standard base-pairing at the 3rd anti-codon position. Lineage: Bacteria; Pseudomonadati; Verrucomicrobiota. The record is from RNAcentral. RNAcentral also lists the same sequence under 2 other names.
CGCGGGGUGGAGCAGCCCGGUAGCUCGUCAGGCUCAUAACCUGAAGGUCGUAGGUUCGAAUCCUACCCCCGCCACCA